CCUCUCUCACCGGUACUUCCAUAGCACCAUCUCCACCAUUAUUUUUCCAGCAAUAUCACCAGAAAAUCCUUAGGAACCUCUAAACACAUUCACAUCUUUUAUUUGAGGUUUGCUUGAUAUUAUUGAGGUUCUAGCUAAUCUCCUUUGGAGUUUAGAGAAUUAGGCUUUUUGUGGGUUGCAAGAUUUACUAGCUAUACCUUGGGUAUGGAGCUUACUUCUUUGGUGAUGAUUAGAGUGCUAUGUUAAUUUUGGAGACUUUUGCUGUAAAUGGUUGGUGACUCGAUCUUGCUAUGUUCAAUGAGACCUUGAUUAAUUCUAUUGGAUGUGGGCCGCUUGAGGUUUGUUAGCAUUUGGUGUAGUAGGCCUAGACUCGAUGUUAAGGUCCUUAAUCUUGAUAAGAUUGUGACUUUGUGUAAUUUAAUGAGUUUUGUAAUAUAUUCAUGUAUUAUGUGGAGGUACAUGAUUUUUAGUAAUUGCUUGUAAAUGUGUUAUAGAGCUCUGACUUGUAAUG
Long non-coding RNA from Quercus lobata, 511 nucleotides. RefSeq lists it as uncharacterized. NCBI's taxonomy places the organism in Eukaryota, Viridiplantae, Streptophyta, Magnoliopsida, Fagales, Fagaceae. The record is from RefSeq and is a predicted model, not a curated record. The transcript is spliced from 3 exons.